UACGUAGGGACCGAGCGUUGUCCGGAAUUAUUGGGCGUAAAGAGCUCGUAGGCGGUUUGUCGCGUCUGCUGUGAAAUCCCGAGGCUCAACCUCGGGCCUGCAGUGGGUACGGGCAGACUGGAGUGCGGUAGGGGAGACUGGAAUUCCUGGUGUAGCGGUGAAAUGCGCAGAUAUCAGGAGGAACACCGGUGGCGAAGGCGGCGCUCUGGGCCGGAACUGACGCUGAGGAGCGAAAGCGUGGGGAGCAAACAGG
This 253-nucleotide ribosomal RNA is filed under the name uncultured bacterium. Its description in RNAcentral is "partial 16S ribosomal RNA". It matches the Rfam family "Bacterial small subunit ribosomal RNA", at positions 524 to 776 of the family's 1533-position model. The record is from RNAcentral.